UUCCAAUGUAAUACUGUGUACAUUCUUCAUCCUUAUUAUUUACAGGGACUAACUAUAUACCCGACUUUCUAUCGCUCGGAACCGGGUCUUUUUCAUUAUGGAACAUUACAGAGUGUGGGGCCUCUCUUCCUGGCCAUCCUCAUAUACACUCAUAUCACUAAAUGGCAAGAUAAGAUUAAAGAACUGUCAUAAGUUUAUGCACAAGGAUGCAAGUAUGGAUAUAAUACCAGAGUUAUGGAAGAAAAUCCAGAAAUCUAUGGAAAUGCCUCCCCUGCUAAGACUCCAAGACCAGCAGAACUAUGAUACCUGCCCCUUCUCACGGGUUACAUAUUAUAAGAGUACUGAUAAGAUCUUGAGCAGGGCCAUAAAAGAUGGGAGCCAUA
RNAcentral lists this long non-coding RNA (383 nucleotides) under Androctonus crassicauda. Lineage: Eukaryota; Metazoa; Arthropoda; Arachnida; Scorpiones; Buthidae. The record is from RNAcentral.